UACGUAGGGUGCGAGCGUUUAAUCGGAAUUACUGGGCGUAAAGAGUGCGUAGGCGGUUCGUUAUGUCUGCUGUGAAAGCCCCGGGCUUAACCCGGGAAUGGCAGUGGAAACUGGCGGGCUUGAGUGUGGCAGAGGGGGGUGGAAUUCCGCGUGUAGCAGUGAAAUGCGUAGAGAUGCGGAGGAACACCGAUGGCGAAGGCGGCGACCUGGUCCGAGACUGACGCUGAGGCGCGAAAAGCGUGGGGGAGCAAACAGG
Molecule: ribosomal RNA, 256 nt
Filed under: uncultured bacterium
Lineage: Bacteria
Description: partial 16S ribosomal RNA
Rfam family: Bacterial small subunit ribosomal RNA
Source: RNAcentral